GACGAACGCUGGCGGCGUGCUUAACACAUGCAAGUCGAACGGAAAGGCCCUGCUUUUGUGGGGUGCUCGAGUGGCGAACGGGUGAGUAACACGUGAGUAACCUGCCCUUGACUUUGGGAUAACUUCAGGAAACUGGGGCUAAUACCGGAUAGGAGCUCCUGCUGCAUGGUGGGGGUUGGAAAGUUUCGGCGGUUGGGGAUGGACUCGCGGCUUAUCAGCUUGUUGGUGGGGUAGUGGCUUACCAAGGCUUUGACGGGUAGCCGGCCUGAGAGGGUGACCGGCCACAUUGGGACUGAGAUACGGCACAGACUCCUAGGGGAGGCAGCAGUGGGGAAUAUUGCACAAUGGGCGGAAGCCUGAUGCAGCAACGCCGCGUGCGGGAUGACGGCCUUCGGGUUGUAAACCGCUUUCGCCUGUGACGAAGCGUGAGUGACGGUAAUGGGUAAAGAAGCACCGGCUAACUACGUG
Molecule: ribosomal RNA, 468 nt
Filed under: uncultured bacterium
Lineage: Bacteria
Description: partial 16S ribosomal RNA
Rfam family: Bacterial small subunit ribosomal RNA
Source: RNAcentral